RNAcentral lists this microRNA precursor (204 nucleotides) under Oryza rufipogon (brownbeard rice). RNAcentral's name for it is "MIR812 microRNA precursor family". It matches the Rfam family "MIR812 microRNA precursor family". Lineage: Eukaryota; Viridiplantae; Streptophyta; Magnoliopsida; Poales; Poaceae. The record is from Rfam by way of RNAcentral.
UGGAGAUGACGCCGUUGACUUUUUCUCACAUGUUUGACUAUUCGUCUUAUUAAAAAAAAUUAUGUAAUUAUAAUUUAUUUUAUUAUGAGUUGUUUUAUUAUUUAUAGUACUUUAAGUGUGAUUUAUAUCUUAUACAUUUGUAUAAAAUUUUUGAAUAAGACGAAUAGUCAAACAUGUGAGAAAAAGUAAACGGCAUCAUCUAUU